AUGAGCAGCAUGAACGCUCUGCUCCUAAAGCUGGCCCGGAUGCCCCUCGACGAGCAGCAGAAGGACUGGCGUGACGAGGUGCGCGAGCUCUCCUAUGACAUGGAGGACUGCAUCGACAUCUUCACCGACAACCUCGACAGCAGCGGGGACUCUAAAGCAGGGCUUCUAAGUGGACUCAAGAAGCUCGCGCGCUACAAAAUUGCUAGCCGGAUCCAAGAAAUGAUGGCUCGGGUGGUGGAAGUAAGUGAUUGUCAUAGAUAUAAUAAUAAUCUUCAUCAGAGAAUUGGUGUUCCUCCUUGGGGCCUUGUGGCUAUAGAUCCUCGUCACCAGACACUGUACACAGAGUCUGAGUGUCUGACGGCUUUGUCAGCAUAG
RNAcentral lists this ribosomal RNA (375 nucleotides) under Triticum aestivum (bread wheat). RNAcentral's name for it is "partial small subunit ribosomal RNA". Lineage: Eukaryota; Viridiplantae; Streptophyta; Magnoliopsida; Poales; Poaceae. The record is from RNAcentral.